AGAGUUUGAUCCUGGCUCAGAUUGAACGCUGGCGGCAUGCUUUACACAUGCAAGUCGAACGGGGUGAGGGGGCAACCGCUCAUUCAGUGGCGAACGGGUGAGUAAUGCAUCGGAACGUGUCCCGCAGUGGGGGAUAACUCGGCGAAAGCCGAGCUAAUACCGCAUACGCUCUGCGGAGGAAAGCGGGGGAUUCGCAAGAACCUCGUGCUAUGGGGGCGGCCGAUGUCCGAUUAGCUAGUUGGUGGGGUAAUGGCCUACCAAGGCGACGAUCGGUAGCUGGUCUGAGAGGAUGAUCAGCCACACUGGGACUGAGACACGGCCCAGACUCCUACGGGAGGCAGCAGUGGGGAAUUUUGGACAAUGGGGGCAACCCUGAUCCAGCCAUGCCGCGUGCGGGAAGAAGGCCUUCGGGUUGUAAACCGCUUUUAGCCGGGACGAAAGCUGUACGGAUAACACCCGUGCAGGUUGACGGUACCGGCGGAAUAAGCACCGGCUAACUACGUGCCAGCCGCCGCGGUAAUAC
Molecule: ribosomal RNA, 523 nt
Filed under: uncultured bacterium
Lineage: Bacteria
Description: bacterial SSU rRNA
Rfam family: Bacterial small subunit ribosomal RNA
Source: RNAcentral